Molecule: ribosomal RNA, 445 nt
Filed under: uncultured bacterium
Lineage: Bacteria
Description: partial 16S ribosomal RNA
Rfam family: Bacterial small subunit ribosomal RNA
Source: RNAcentral
GUGAGGAAUAUUGGUCAAUGGGCGGAAGCCUGAACCAGCCAAGUAGCGUGCAGGACGACGGCCCUAUGGGUUGUAAACUGCUUUUAUACGGGGAUAAAGUGCGCCACGUGUGGAGCAUUGCAGGUACCGUAUGAAUAAGGACCGGCUAAUUCCGUGCCAGCAGCCGCGGUAAUACGGAAGGUCCGGGCGUUAUCCGGAUUUAUUGGGUUUAAAGGGAGCGCAGGCCGGAAGCAAAGCGUGCCGUGAAAUGUAGAUGCUCAACAUCUGAAUUGCGGCGCGAACUGGUUUUCUUGAGUGCAUACGAGGUAGGCGGAAUUUGUGGUGUAGCGGUGAAAUGCUUAGAUAUCACGAAGAACUCCGAUUGCGAAGGCAGCCUACCAGGAUGUAACUGACGCUAAAGCUCGAAAGUGCGGGUAUCGAACAGGAUUAGAAACCCCUGUAGUCC